GGACGCGACGGGUGAGUAACACGUGGGUAACCUACCUAUAAGACUGGGUUUACUUCGGGAAACCGGAGCUAAUACCGGAUAAUAUUUCGAACCGCAUGGUUCGAUAGUGAAAGAUGGCUCUGCUAUCACUUAUAGAUGGACCUGCGCCGUAUUAGCUAGUUGGUAAGGUAACGGCUUACCAAGGCAACGAUACGUAGCCGACCUGAGAGGGUGAUCGGCCACACUGGAACUGAGACACGGUCCAGACUCCUACGGGAGGCAGCAGUAGGGAAUCUUCCGCAAUGGGCGAAAGCCUGACGGAGCAACGCCGCGUGAGUGAUGAAGGUCUUCGGAUCGUAAAACUCUGUUAUUAGGGAAGAACAAACGUGUAAGUAACUGUGCACGUCUUGACGGUACCUAAUCAGAAAGCCACGGCUAACUACGUGCCAGCAGCCGCGGUAAUACGUAGGUGGCAAGCGUUAUCCGGAAUUAUUGGGCGUAAAGCGCGCGUAGGCGGUUUUUUAAGUCUGAUGUGAAAGCCCACGGCUCAACCGUGGAGGGUCAUUGGAAACUGGAAAACUUGAGUGCAGAAGAGGAAAGUGGAAUUCCAUGUGUAGCGGUGAAAUGCGCAGAGAUAUGGAGGAACACCAGUGGCGAAGGCGACUUUCUGGUCUGUAACUGACGCUGAUGUGCGAAAGCGUGGGGAUCAAACAGGAUUAGAUACCCUGGUAGUCCACGCCGUAAACGAUGAGUGCUAAGUGUUAGGGGGUUUCCGCCCCUUAGUGCUGCAGCUAACGCAUUAAGCACUCCGCCUGGGGGAGUACGACCGCAAGGGUUGAAACUCAAGGGAAUUGACGGGGACCCGCACAAGCGGUGGAGCAUGUGAUUAUUUCGAAAGCAACGCGAAGAAUCCUUAACCAAAAUC
RNAcentral lists this ribosomal RNA (904 nucleotides) under Staphylococcus sp. RNAcentral's name for it is "bacterial SSU rRNA". It matches the Rfam family "Bacterial small subunit ribosomal RNA", at positions 95 to 982 of the family's 1533-position model. Lineage: Bacteria; Bacillati; Bacillota; Bacilli; Caryophanales; Staphylococcaceae. The record is from RNAcentral.